GGAGGAAAAGAAACUAACAAGGAUUCCCCUAGUAACGGCGAGUGAAGCGGGAAGAAGCUCAAAUUUAAAAUCUGGCAGGCUACGCUUGUCCGAAUUGUAAUCUCGAGAAGUGUUUUCCGCGUUGGCCUGUGUACAAGUCCCUUGGAACAGGGCGUCAUAGAGGGUGAGAAUCCCGUCCUUGACACAGACACCCAAUGCUUUGUGAUACACUCUCAAUGAGUCGAGUUGUUUGGGAAUGCAGCUCAAAAUGGGUGGUAAAUUCCAUCUAAAGCUAAAUACUGGCGAGAGACCGAUAGCGAACAAGUACCGUGAGGGAAAGAUGAAAAGCACUUUGGAAAGAGAGUCAAACAGUACGUGAAAUUGUUGAAAGGGAAACGAUUGAAGUCAGUCGUGCCUGCCUAGAUUCAGCCUUCUGGUGUAUUUCUAGGUCGGCAGGUCAGCAUCAGUUUGGGGGGGUUAACAAGGGAGCUGGGAAUGUGGCAACCUCGGUUGUGUUAUAGCCCAGUUUCGCAUUGAUCUCGCUGGACUGAGGAACGCAGUGCGCCCGCAAGGGUUGGUCUUCGGACACAUUCGCACUUAGGAUGCUGGCAUAAUGGCUUUAAACGACCCU
RNAcentral lists this ribosomal RNA (610 nucleotides) under Basidiomycota sp. A25M044. Its description in RNAcentral is "eukaryotic LSU rRNA". It matches the Rfam family "Eukaryotic large subunit ribosomal RNA", at positions 52 to 651 of the family's 3401-position model. Lineage: Eukaryota; Fungi; Basidiomycota. The record is from RNAcentral.